GUAGAGUAACGCGUGAGUAACCUGCCUUACACAAGGGGAUAGCCUUUGGAAACGAAGAAUAAUACCCUAUAAAACCAUAAAAGCACAUGCUAGAAUGGUCAAAGUGAUAGCGGUGUAAGAUGGACUUGCGUCUGAUUAGCUAGUUGGUGAGAUAAAAGCUCACCAAGGCAACGAUCAGUAGCCGGCUUGAGAGAGUGUACGGCCACAUUGGGACUGAGACACGGCCCAG
This 229-nucleotide ribosomal RNA is filed under the name uncultured Eubacteriales bacterium. Its description in RNAcentral is "uncultured Clostridiales bacterium partial 16S ribosomal RNA". It matches the Rfam family "Bacterial small subunit ribosomal RNA", at positions 106 to 334 of the family's 1533-position model. Lineage: Bacteria; Bacillati; Bacillota; Clostridia; Eubacteriales. The record is from RNAcentral.